This 253-nucleotide ribosomal RNA is filed under the name uncultured bacterium. Its description in RNAcentral is "partial 16S ribosomal RNA". It matches the Rfam family "Bacterial small subunit ribosomal RNA", at positions 524 to 776 of the family's 1533-position model. The record is from RNAcentral.
UACAGAGGGGGCAAGCGUUGUUCGGAAUUACUGGGCGUAAAGGGCGCGUAGGCGGCCUGUUAAGUCGAACGUGAAAUCCCCGGGCUCAACCCGGGAACUGCGUCCGAUACUGGCAGGCUUGAAUCCGGGAGAGGGAUGCAGAAUUCCAGGUGUAGCGGUGAAAUGCGUAGAUAUCUGGAGGAAUACCGGUGGCGAAGGCGGCAUCCUGGACCGGCAUUGACGCUGAGGAGCGAAAGCUAGGGGAGCAAACGGG